ACUGAAUAGAUACCCUGGUAGUCCACGCCGUAAACGAUGAUUACUCGCUGUUGGCGAUACACUGUCAGCGGCUAAAGCAAAAGCAAUAAGUAAUCCACCUGGGGAGUACGGCCGCAAGGUUGAAACUCAAAGGAAUUGACGGGGGCCCGCACAAGCGGAGGAACAUGUGGUUUAAUUCGAUGAUACGCGAGGAACCUUACCUGGGCUUAAAUGUAGAGUGCAUUUUCUAGAGAUAGGAAUUCCCUUCGGGGCUUUCUGCAAGGUGCUGCAUGGUUGUCGUCAGCUCGUGCCGUGAGGUGUCGGGUUAAGUCCCAUAACGAGCGCAACCCUUAUCGUUAGUUGCUAUCUGGUAAAGCAGGGGACUCUAGCGAAACUGCCACCGUAAGGUGAGAGG
RNAcentral lists this ribosomal RNA (394 nucleotides) under uncultured bacterium. Its description in RNAcentral is "bacterial SSU rRNA". It matches the Rfam family "Bacterial small subunit ribosomal RNA", at positions 772 to 1169 of the family's 1533-position model. The record is from RNAcentral.